This 1004-nucleotide long non-coding RNA is filed under the name Rattus norvegicus (Norway rat). RNAcentral describes it as "long non-coding RNA NONRATT002536". Lineage: Eukaryota; Metazoa; Chordata; Mammalia; Rodentia; Muridae. The record is from RNAcentral.
UCAGGUGAGGCCGCAGGCUCAGCAGGCCCCACGCUGCUGGCUGCUGCUGCCACCCUUGCCUCCCGGGCUGCCCGCUGCUGUGGGGACACCAUGCCCCUUCCCAGGCCCGGAGACUAACCCCAAACCUGCACCAUCUCCGGCGAACCCCAGGGUUCCGCCCCAGCCCAACAGGUCAACCUGGGAAUCAUUAACAAGAGUCCCUGACAUGGCGAAGGAGGAUGAGGAACCUGGGGCUCACAGAGGAGGUUCCACUUGUCCAAGACCCCAGCCUGGAAAGGGUGGCCGGACUGCACCAUGCUGUUCCAGACCCAAGGUGGCAGCUCUCACUGUGGGGACCCUGCUGUUCCUGACAGGCAUUGGGGCUGCGUCGGACCCAGGCCCGGCUUUGUCGCCCUGCAGUGCAGCUCAGUCCCGGGGACUCUCGACUUUUGGUGUUGGACAAGACAGAGGGAACGUGGAGGCUGCUGUGCUCCUCACGCUCCAACGCCAGGGUAGCAGGGCUCGGCUGUGAGGAGAUGGGCUUUCUCAGGGCUCUGGCGCACUCAGAGCUGGAUGUGCGAACCGCGGGCGCCAACGGCACAUCGGGCUUCUUCUGCGUGGACGAGGGCGGUCUGCCUCUGGCUCAGCGGUUGCUGGAUGUCAUCUCUGUAUGCGACUGUCCUAGAGGCCGAUUCCUGACUGCCACCUGCCAAGACUGUGGCCGCAGGAAGCUGCCGGUGGAUCGCAUUGUGGGGGGCCAGGACAGCAGCCUGGGAAGAUGGCCAUGGCAGGUCAGCCUGCGUUAUGAUGGGACCCACCUCUGUGGGGGAUCCCUGCUGUCCGGGGACUGGGUACUGACCGCUGCACACUGCUUUCCAGAGAGGAACCGGGUCCUGUCUCGGUGGCGAGUAUUUGCUGGUGCUGUAGCCCGGACCUCACCUCAUGCCGUGCAGCUGGGGGUUCAGGCUGUGAUCUAUCAUGGGGGCUACCUUCCCUUUCGAGACCCUACUAUCGACGAAAACAGC